RNAcentral lists this ribosomal RNA (489 nucleotides) under Niallia circulans. RNAcentral describes it as "bacterial SSU rRNA". It matches the Rfam family "Bacterial small subunit ribosomal RNA", at positions 962 to 1450 of the family's 1533-position model. The record is from RNAcentral. Lineage: Bacteria; Bacillati; Bacillota; Bacilli; Caryophanales; Bacillaceae.
CGAACUUCCUUACCAGGUCUUGACAUCCUCUGACACUCCUAGAGAUAGGACGUUCCCAUUCGGGGGACAGAGUGACAGGUGGUGCAUGGUUGUCGUCAGCUCGUGUCGUGAGAUGUUGGGUUAAGUCCCGAAACGAGCGCAACCCUUGAUCUUAGUUGCCAGCAUUCAGUUGGGCACUCUAAGGAAAGUGCCGGUGACAAACCGGAGGAAGGUGGGUAUGACGUCAAAUCAUCAUGCCCUUUAUGACCUGGGCUACACACGUGCUACAAUGGAUGGUACAAAGGGCAGCAAAACCGCGAGGUCGAGCAAAUCCCAUAAAGCCAUUCUCAGUUCGGAUUGUAGGCUGCAACUCGCCUACAUGAAGCUGGAAUCGCUAGUAAUCGCGGAUCAGCAUGCCGCGGUGAACCCUUUCCCGGGCCUUGUACACACCGCCCGUCACACCACGAGAGUUUGUAACACCCGAAGUCGGUGGGGUAACCUUUGGGAGCC